This 253-nucleotide ribosomal RNA is filed under the name uncultured bacterium. RNAcentral's name for it is "partial 16S ribosomal RNA". It matches the Rfam family "Bacterial small subunit ribosomal RNA", at positions 524 to 776 of the family's 1533-position model. The record is from RNAcentral.
UACGAAGGGGGCUAGCGUUGCUCGGAAUCACUGGGCGUAAAGGGUGCGUAGGCGGGGCCUUAAGUCAGGGGUGAAAUCCUGGAGCUCAACUCCAGAACUGCCUUUGAUACUGAAGAUCUUGAGUCCGGGAGAGGUGAGUGGAACUGCGAGUGUAGAGGUGAAAUUCGUAGAUAUUCGCAAGAACACCAGUGGCGAAGGCGGCUCACUGGCCCGGUACUGACGCUGAGGCACGAAAGCGUGGGGAGCAAACAGG